UGGGAAAUCUGGAUUUACUGGCCAUCACUUUAACUCAAAGAUAGGGGCAGAAGAUGGAGCUCAAGGAGUCCUUUUACACCACAAAACCGCAAAUGGGCGUCCAAGUGUAACAUAUGCCAUUGCAGCAGAGGCAACGGAUGAUGUUCACGUCUCACUUUGUCCUUGCUUUGUAAUAUCCGGUGAGUCCGAGGGCAUUUCAGCAAAAGAUAUGUGGCAAGAAAUUAAAA
Molecule: unclassified non-coding RNA, 227 nt
Filed under: Hevea brasiliensis (rubber tree)
Lineage: Eukaryota; Viridiplantae; Streptophyta; Magnoliopsida; Malpighiales; Euphorbiaceae
Source: RNAcentral